This 812-nucleotide ribosomal RNA is filed under the name uncultured bacterium. RNAcentral's name for it is "bacterial SSU rRNA". It matches the Rfam family "Bacterial small subunit ribosomal RNA", at positions 1 to 813 of the family's 1533-position model. The record is from RNAcentral.
UUAGAGUUUGAUCCUGGCUCAGAUUGAACGCUGGCGGCAGGCCUAACACAUGCAAGUCGAGCGGAUGAGUGGAGCUUGCUCCAUGAUUCAGCGGCGGACGGGUGAGUAAUGCCUAGGAAUCUGCCUGGUAGUGGGGGACAACGUUUCGAAAGGAACGCUAAUACCGCAUACGUCCUACGGGAGAAAGCAGGGGACCUUCGGGCCUUGCGCUAUCAGAUGAGCCUAGGUCGGAUUAGCUAGUAGGUGAGGUAAAGGCUCACCUAGGCGACGAUCCGUAACUGGUCUGAGAGGAUGAUCAGUCACACUGGAACUGAGACACGGUCCAGACUCCUACGGGAGGCAGCAGUGGGGAAUAUUGGACAAUGGGCGAAAGCCUGAUCCAGCCAUGCCGCGUGUGUGAAGAAGGUCUUCGGAUUGUAAAGCACUUUAAGUUGGGAGGAAGGGCAGUAAGUUAAUACCUUGCUGUUUUGACGUUACCAACAGAAUAAGCACCGGCUAACUUCGUGCCAGCAGCCGCGGUAAUACGAAGGGUGCAAGCGUUAAUCGGAAUUACUGGGCGUAAAGCGCGCGUAGGUGGUUCAGCAAGUUGGAGGUGAAAUCCCCGGGCUCAACCUGGGAACUGCCUCCAAAACUACUGAGCUAGAGUACGGUAGAGGGUAGUGGAAUUUCCUGUGUAGCGGUGAAAUGCGUAGAUAUAGGAAGGAACACCAGUGGCGAAGGCGACUACCUGGACUGAUACUGACACUGAGGUGCGAAAGCGUGGGGAGCAAACAGGAAAAGAUACCCUGGUAGUCCACGCCGUAAACGAUGUC